CAAUAAGCGGAGGAAAAGAAACCAACAGGGAUUGCCUUAGUAGCGGCGAGCGAAGCGGCAACAGCUCAAAUUUGAAAUCUGGCUACUUUGUAGUUCGAGUUGUAAUUUGUAGAGGAUGCUUUUGGUGAGGUGCCUUCCGAGUUCCCUGGAACGGGACGCCAGAGAGGGUGAGAGCCCCGUACGGUUGGAUACCAAACCUUUGUAUAGCUCCUUCAACGAGUCGAGUAGUUUGGGAAUGCUGCUCUAAAUGGGAGGUAUAUCUCUUCUAAAGCUAAAUACCGGCUAGAGACCGAUAGCGCACAAGUAGAGUGAUCGAAAGAUGAAAAGCACUUUGAAAAGAGAGUUAAACAGCACGUGAAAUUGUUGAAAGGGAAGCGCCUAUGACCAGACUUGUUUCUGUCAGUUUUGCUCGUUCUCGGACUUGUUUACUCUGUCAGUACAGGCCAACAUCAGUUUGUUGUUUGGGAGAAAGGCUUAGGGAAUGUGGCUCUUUCGGGAGUGUUAUAGCCCUUUGCAUAAUACCAUUCGGCAGACUGAGGACCGCGCUUCGGCAAGGAUGUUGGCGUAAUGG
This 571-nucleotide ribosomal RNA is filed under the name Davidsoniella virescens. Its description in RNAcentral is "LSU rRNA". It matches the Rfam family "Eukaryotic large subunit ribosomal RNA", at positions 44 to 637 of the family's 3401-position model. Lineage: Eukaryota; Fungi; Ascomycota; Sordariomycetes; Microascales; Ceratocystidaceae. The record is from RNAcentral.